Molecule: ribosomal RNA, 468 nt
Filed under: uncultured bacterium
Lineage: Bacteria
Description: partial 16S ribosomal RNA
Rfam family: Bacterial small subunit ribosomal RNA
Source: RNAcentral
GACGAACGCUGGCGGCGUGCUUAACACAUGCAAGUCGAACGGAAAGGCCCUGCUUUUGUGGGGUGCUCGAGUGGCGAACGGGUGAGUAACACGUGAGUAACCUGCCCUUGACUUUGGGAUAACUUCAGGAAACUGGGGCUAAUACCGGAUAGGAGCUCCUGCUGCAUGGUGGGGGUUGGAAAGUUUCGGCGGUUGGGGAUGGACUCGCGGCUUAUCAGCUUGUUGGUGGGGUAGUGGCUUACCAAGGCUUUGACGGGUAGCCGGCCUGAGAGGGUGACCGGCCACAUUGGGACUGAGAUACAGCCCAGACUCCUACGGGAGGCAGCAGUGGGGAAUAUUGCACAAUGGGCGGAAGCCUGAUGCAGCAACGCCGCGUGCGGGAUGACGGCCUUCGGGUUGUAAACCGCUUUCGCCUGUGACGAAGCGAGAGUGACGGUAAUGGGUAAAGAAGCACCGGCUAACUACGUG